GAUGAACGCUGGCGGCGUGCCUAAUACAUGCAAGUCGAGCGAACAGACGAGGAGCUUGCUCCUCUGACGUUAGCGGCGGACGGGUGAGUAACACGUGGAUAACCUAUCUAUAAGACUGGGAUAACUUCGGGAAACCGGAGCUAAUACCGGAUAAUAUAUUGAACCGCAUGGUUCAAUAGUGAAAGACGGUUUUGCUGUCACUUAUAGAUAGAUCCGCGCCGCAUUAGCUAGUUGGUAAGGUAACGGCUUACCAAGGCAACGAUGCGUAGCCGACCUGAUAGGGUGAUCGACCAGACUGGAACUGAGACACGGUCGAGACUCCUACGGGAGGCCGCAGUAGGGAAUCUUCCGCAAUGGGCGAAAGCCUGACGGAGCAACGCCGCGUGAGUGAUGAAGGUCUUCGGAUCGUAAAACUCUGUUAUUAGGGAAGAACAAAUGUGUAAGUAACUAUGCACGUCUUGACGGUACCUAAUCAGAAAGCCACGGCUAACUACGUG
This 497-nucleotide ribosomal RNA is filed under the name uncultured bacterium. RNAcentral's name for it is "partial 16S ribosomal RNA". It matches the Rfam family "Bacterial small subunit ribosomal RNA", at positions 28 to 507 of the family's 1533-position model. The record is from RNAcentral.